RNAcentral lists this ribosomal RNA (378 nucleotides) under uncultured bacterium. Its description in RNAcentral is "bacterial SSU rRNA". It matches the Rfam family "Bacterial small subunit ribosomal RNA", at positions 448 to 818 of the family's 1533-position model. The record is from RNAcentral.
AACGACCGUGGCAGGGAAUGGCCGCGGGAUGACGUGAAUCCCGGAAUAAGCCCCGGCUAACUACGUGCCAGCAGCCGCGGUAACACGUAGGGGGCGAGCGUUGUUAGGAAUCAUUGGGCGUAAAGGGCGUGCAGGCGGUCCUGCAAGUCCGGCGUGAAAGACCCCGGCCCAACCGGGGGGGCGCGCUGGAAACUGCAGGGCUUGAGUACAGGAGGGGAUGCCGGAAUUCCAGGUGUAGGGGUGAAAUCUGUAGAUAUCUGGAGGAACACCAAUGGCGAAGGCAGGCAUCUGGCCAUGUACUGACGCUGAGACGCGAAGGUGCGGGGAGCAAACAGGUUUAGAUACCCUGGUAGUCCGCACAGUAAACGAUGUGCACCA